GUGUUGCAUGAAAGGAAAGAAAGUUAGCACUCCCCUUGACAAGGAUGGAAGAGGCCCCUGGGCCUUACAACAAGCGUACGGUCAUAUGGCAAGUCUGGAAGACAGGAGAUGCCGUCAGAGUUCAGAACUGAGAUGGGGCUUUAAAUUCGU
Small nuclear RNA from Jaculus jaculus (lesser Egyptian jerboa), 150 nucleotides. NCBI's taxonomy places the organism in Eukaryota, Metazoa, Chordata, Mammalia, Rodentia, Dipodidae. The record is from Ensembl.